CACGUGCGUCGUUCAGCUUCUGUUGCUCCAUGUGUCGUGCUCCAUUACUCCAUCUCACUCGCAGCCACGGAGUAGGAGGAACUCUGCCAAGGCUUUUUCUGGGAAUUUGCUCUGGUCCUGCUACUUCCCUGGUGGUGCUCCACUGAUGUGGGUUGUUUGCAGGGGGAAUAAAAUGCUCAGCUGUCAGCUCCUGAAUGGCCUGUCAGAGGCCAAGGCAAGGACCAGCCCCUCCUUCAGCUCUGUGUUACACAGCCAUGUUGUAACCUCAGCUGCAGAUGAGAAGUGCUUUGUUUGUGACUCCUGGGUGCUCUGCACUUGAUGCAUCUCCCGACAGAUGCAGGGCAAACUCCGCUCCUCCCGCCCGGCCUGGCUCGCAGUGAUGGAUUAAGUAGGUCAGAGUAGGAGGAGUCCUGGUGGAAGCAGGGCAUCUGAAGUGAACCUAUGGACAAGCUCACCUGUAUGUAGAAGAGAUUGCCAUUGAUGUGGGUUCUCCACCCAGGACCUCUCAACUGAGCAAUGACAAGCUGCCCUGUUCUGCCCCAUGAAGAGACAGAAAACUUUGGAAACAUGCCUGAAUCGGACCCUUGCAUUUCUUUGGUGGAAAGAGCUGUUACCUUGUUUUGGGAGAGAAAGGUGCAGAAAGACUUGAAUGUUUCUUUUCCUUCCCAUGGUCUGAGCCACCACAUCUCUCUGUGCUGGAGAGAGGAGUGAGACCACACUCAGCAUCUGGUGAGUACAGGGAAGGACAAUCUUUUUCUUUCUGGCAGAGAUAGCCCAGAUGGAGCUGUGAUGUCUCCUACAGGAAGCCAGGAUGGUGGCUGGAAGGCACAGAGAUAAGAGAGAGCAGAAAGGAGAGAAAGAGAGAGAGGUCAGGCACUGCCUCAUCCUCAUUUCUGUUCCCUGCUGUACACAAGGGUAUGUGGGGCACAAGACAAGAUGAACAGGGAAACUGCCUGUUGGGUGAUGCCCAGCUCUGCCAGCAUGGGCAGAGUUGGGCAUUGCAGAGCAGAGGCAUCUUCCUGCUCCCCAUUUCUCUGAAACAUUCUCCAUGCAUGUUCUAGUACCAUUAGCUUUUCCCAGACCUGUUUUACAGGCAUUUUUAAUGAUUCCAAGGGAAAAUGAGACUCAACUGGCCACUGGCAAACCCAGCCCAAAGCUGCCCAGACUUGGGGAGGUUGCCACUUUGUCUGGAAGCAUUCUUUAUCCUUGGUGCAGGCUCUGUAGUUCCCUUCCAUGUUGAAAAGGAGGAGGAAGAAAUUUCCAUCAGGCUCAGUAAGUUCCUUUCCAUGCUGAACAGGAGGAAGAAAUUUCCACUUGCUGGGCCAGCACAAGCCAAGACCCAAACUGAACAAAGAAUGGGCAGUGGAUUCAGGGAUAUGUAAAUCCUCCUCCCCCAGCCUGAGGGAGUUUAUUGCCCUCCAUGAAGUACCCAGUGUGGCUGUCAUUCCUGAGCAGCCCAGUCUGGCUGUUAAAUGACAAGGGAAAAUUACCCAGUCUGUUCUCCAGAAGGCAAGCAAACAGCUUUUUCCAACCCCACAGUGUGCUAACAGGAGCCAGGCAACUUCUGCAGAACGUUUGGCACUGGAUGUUCAGCUGACUUGACACACUUUGGAGUGACUGGGGGUGGUACUGGUGAGAAGGAAGAAGGACAAAAGCAGUCAGCCACUUUCUUGCAGCGUCUGAGGGAGCUGGAUUGUAUGUUUGGAAAAAAGAAGGCAAGAGUCUGAGCACCUUCAUCACAGAUGCUGACAUCCAUUGAAACCUUUCCUCUCCACAAGUCAGUGAAAACAACAGAAGAAAUAUCCUUUAAUUCCUCAAAAAGUAUCAU
Non-coding RNA from Taeniopygia guttata (zebra finch), 1828 nucleotides. Lineage: Eukaryota; Metazoa; Chordata; Aves; Passeriformes; Estrildidae. The record is from RefSeq and is a predicted model, not a curated record.